This 296-nucleotide ribosomal RNA is filed under the name Lactiplantibacillus plantarum. RNAcentral describes it as "Lactobacillus plantarum partial 16S ribosomal RNA". It matches the Rfam family "Bacterial small subunit ribosomal RNA", at positions 389 to 677 of the family's 1533-position model. Lineage: Bacteria; Bacillati; Bacillota; Bacilli; Lactobacillales; Lactobacillaceae. The record is from RNAcentral.
GAGCACGCCGCGUGAGUGAGAAGGGUUUCCGGCUCCGUAAAACUCUGUUGUUAAAGAAGAACAUAUCUGAGAGUAACUGUUCAGGUAUUGACGGUAUUUAACCAGAAAGCCACGGCUAACUACGUGCCAGCAGCCGCGGUAAUACGUAGGUGGCAAGCGUUGUCCGGAUUUAUUGGGCGUAAAGCGAGCGCAGGCGGUUUUUUAAGUCUGAUGUGAAAGCCUUCGGCUCAACCGAAGAAGUGCAUCGGAAACUGGGAAACUUGAGUGCAGAAGAGGACAGUGGAACUCCAUGUGUA